CACGUGGGUAACCUGCCCAAGAGACUGGGAUAACACCUGGAAACAGAUGCUAAUACCGGAUAACAACACUAGACGCAUGUCUAGAGUUUAAAAGAUGGUUCUGCUAUCACUCUUGGAUGGACCUGCGGUGCAUUAGCUAGUUGGUAAGGUAACGGCUUACCAAGGCAAUGAUGCAUAACCGAGUUGAGAGACUGAUCGGCCACAUUGGGACUGAGACACGGUCCAAACUCCUACGGGAGGCAGCAGGU
Molecule: ribosomal RNA, 248 nt
Filed under: uncultured bacterium
Lineage: Bacteria
Description: partial 16S ribosomal RNA
Rfam family: Bacterial small subunit ribosomal RNA
Source: RNAcentral